This 422-nucleotide ribosomal RNA is filed under the name uncultured eukaryotic phytoplankton. RNAcentral describes it as "bacterial SSU rRNA". It matches the Rfam family "Bacterial small subunit ribosomal RNA", at positions 358 to 795 of the family's 1533-position model. The record is from RNAcentral.
GGAAUUUUCCGCAAUGGGCGAAAGCCUGACGGAGCAAUACCGCGUGAGGGAAGACGGCCUAUGGGUUGUAAACCUCUUUUUUCAGGGAGGAAUUUUGACGUGUACCUGAAGAAUAAGCAUCGGCUAACUCCGUGCCAGCAGCCGCGGUAAGACGGAGGAUGCAAGUGUUAUCCGGAAUCACUGGGCGUAAAGCGUCUGUAGGUGGUUGAACAAGUCAACUGUUAAAUCUUGAGGCUCAACUUCAAAAUCGCAGUCGAAACUGUUUGACUAGAGUAUAGUAGGGGUAAAGGGAAUUUCCAGUGGAGCGGUGAAACGCGUAGAUAUUGGAAAGAACACCGAUGGUGAAGGCACUUUACUGGGCUAUUACUAACACUCAGAGACGAAAGCUAGGGUAGCAAAUGGGAUUAGAUACCCCAGUAGUC